GAUGAACGCUGGCGGCGUGCCUAAUACAUGCAAGUCGAGCGAACGGACGAGAAGCUUGCUUCUCUGAUGUUAGCGGCGGACGGGUGAGUAAAACGUGGAUAACCUACCUAUAAGACUGGGAUAACUUCGGGAAACCGGAGCUAAUACCGGAUAAUAUUUUGAACCGCAUGGUUCAAAAGUGAAAGACGGUCUUGCUGUCACUUAUAGAUGGAUCCGCGCUGCAUUAGCUAGUUGGUAAGGUAACGGCUUACCAAGGCAACGAUGCAUAGCCGACCUGAGAGGGUGCUCGGCCACACUGGAACUGAGACACGGUCCAGACUCCUACGGGCGGCAGCAGUAGGGAAUCCUCCGCAAUGGGCGAAAGCCUGACGGAGCAACGCCGCGUGAGUGAUGAAGGUCUUCGGAUCGUAAAACUCUGUUAUUAGGGAAGAACAUAUGUGUAAGUAACUGUGAACAUCUUGACGGUACCUAAUCAGAAAGCCACGGCUAACUACGUG
RNAcentral lists this ribosomal RNA (497 nucleotides) under uncultured bacterium. RNAcentral describes it as "partial 16S ribosomal RNA". It matches the Rfam family "Bacterial small subunit ribosomal RNA", at positions 28 to 507 of the family's 1533-position model. The record is from RNAcentral.